AACGUAGGAGACAAACGUUAUCCGGAGUUACUGGGCGUAAAGGGCGUGUAGGUGGUUAUGUAAGUCUGGCGUGAAAUUUUUCGGCUUAACCGGGAAAGGUCGUCGGAUACUGCAAAACUAGAGGACGGUAGAGGCGUGUGGAAUUCCGGGUGUAGUGGUGAAAUGCGUAGAGAUCCGGAGGAACACCGGUGGCGAAGGCGGCAUCCUGGACCAACACUGACACUGAGGAGCGAAAGCCAGGGGAGCAAACGGG
Molecule: ribosomal RNA, 253 nt
Filed under: uncultured bacterium
Lineage: Bacteria
Description: partial 16S ribosomal RNA
Rfam family: Bacterial small subunit ribosomal RNA
Source: RNAcentral